RNAcentral lists this ribosomal RNA (458 nucleotides) under uncultured bacterium. Its description in RNAcentral is "SSU rRNA". It matches the Rfam family "Bacterial small subunit ribosomal RNA", at positions 26 to 518 of the family's 1533-position model. The record is from RNAcentral.
AGAACGAACGCUGGCGGCAUGCCUAACACAUGCAAGUCGAACGCUUUUGGGGCUUCGGUUCCAAAGGAGUGGCGCACGGGUGAGUAGCGCGUGGGAACCUGCCCUGGAGUGGGGGAUAACCGAGGGAAACUUCGGCUAAUACCGCAUACGCCGGGAAACCGGGAAAGAUUUAUCGCUCUAGGAGGGGCCCGCGUCGGAUUAGCUAGUUGGUGGGGUAACGGCCUACCAAGGCUUUGAUCCGUAGCUGGUCUGAGAGGAUGAUCAGCCACACUGGGACUGAGACACGGCCCAGACUCCUACGGGAGGCAGCAGUGGGGAAUAUUGGACAAUGGGCGCAAGCCUGAUCCAGCAAUGCCGCGUGAGUGAUGAAGGCCUUCGGGUUGUAAAGCUCUUUCGCACGCGAGGAUGAUGACGCUAGCGUGAGAAGAAGCCCCGGCUAACUUCGUGCCAGCAGCCGC